This 73-nucleotide transfer RNA is filed under the name Candidatus Nanopelagicaceae bacterium. Its description in RNAcentral is "tRNA-Arg". It matches the Rfam family "tRNA". Rfam says of the family: Transfer RNA (tRNA) molecules are approximately 80 nucleotides in length. Their secondary structure includes four short double-helical elements and three loops (D, anti-codon, and T loops). RNAcentral also lists the same sequence under 1 other name. The record is from RNAcentral. Lineage: Bacteria; Bacillati; Actinomycetota; Actinomycetes; Candidatus Nanopelagicales; Candidatus Nanopelagicaceae.
GCGCCCGUAGCUCAACGGAUAGAGCAUCUGACUUCGGAUCAGAGGGUUGGGGGUUCGAGUCCCUCCGGGCGCG